RNAcentral lists this ribosomal RNA (407 nucleotides) under uncultured bacterium. Its description in RNAcentral is "bacterial SSU rRNA". It matches the Rfam family "Bacterial small subunit ribosomal RNA", at positions 354 to 777 of the family's 1533-position model. The record is from RNAcentral.
GUGGGGAAUAUUGGUCAAUGGGGGCAACCCUGAACCAGCAACGCCGCGUGAAGGAUGAAGGUCUUCGGAUUGUAAACUUUUGUCGUAUAGGACGAAAAAUGACGGUACUAUACAAGAAAGCCACGGCUAACUACGUGCCAGCAGCCGCGGUAAUACGUAGGUGGCGAGCGUUGUCCGGAUUUACUGGGUGUAAAGGGCGCGUAGGCGGGUAUGUAAGUCAGAUGUGAAAUCCCGAGGCUUAACUUCGGAACUGCAUUUGAAACUGCAAAUCUUGAGUGCGGGAGAGGAAAGCGGAAUUCCUAGUGUAGCGGUGAAAUGCGUAGAUAUUAGGAGGAACACCGGUGGCGAAGGCGGCUUUCUGGACCGUAACUGACGCUGAGGCGCGAAAGCGUGGGUAGCAAACAGGA